UGUCUUCUAAAGAAAAGCACUCAUUGAAGUGUCUCCAUACUCCUUCCUGGUCAUAAAUGGAGCACUAUUCAUUACCAGAAUGGAGCUGAGUCAGAUCUAAGUGCUCAGGGUGUUGGUCGUCCUGAGCAGUGAUAUUAAUACAGCAGGAAUCGUCUCCAGUCGGAUCAGAGCCGCUCACUCAUCGCUCAGAGUCAUGAUCCUCAAGCUCAUCUACUUCUUGCUCCCCCUCAUAGGUGAAAAUACCUCCAGUUCAGAGGCGCAGGAGCGUCACGGUGAUCAAAAAAAGUCCAACUACGCCUCUAAAGACAUGCCAGGUUCCUUUUCUGUGACGGACGGAAAUGUUACGUCGGAUGAAUCAGAAUUUGACGAGGCGUCCAAUCAGAGCGCUGAAGAAAAUU
This is a long non-coding RNA of Austrofundulus limnaeus, 398 nucleotides long. RefSeq lists it as uncharacterized. The record is from RefSeq and is a predicted model, not a curated record. Lineage: Eukaryota; Metazoa; Chordata; Actinopteri; Cyprinodontiformes; Rivulidae. The transcript has 3 exons.